CUACUUACCUAGCAGGGGAGAUACCACAGUUGUGAAGGCGGUUUUCUCAGGGCAAGGCUUACCCAUUGUUUUUCAGAUGUUCUGACUCCUGAAGUUUCCCCAAUCUUGGAAACUUGACUGCAUAAUGUGUGAUAAUGAGGAACUAGGUUUAUGCUCUCCCUG
Molecule: small nuclear RNA, 162 nt
Organism: Grammomys surdaster
Lineage: Eukaryota; Metazoa; Chordata; Mammalia; Rodentia; Muridae
Product: U1 spliceosomal RNA
Exons: 1
Source: RefSeq, a predicted model, not a curated record